This is a long non-coding RNA of Perca fluviatilis (European perch), 796 nucleotides long. RefSeq lists it as uncharacterized. The record is from RefSeq and is a predicted model, not a curated record. The transcript has 3 exons. Lineage: Eukaryota; Metazoa; Chordata; Actinopteri; Perciformes; Percidae.
GGAGCUGCCGCUUGCGCCGGGCGGCCGGGGCAGCUGCGCGAGGAAUAGAGUAGAGAGCAAAGGGGAAAGGUGCUUUUUUCACCAGCUGAGCGAUUUAUUUUGCAAAAAGUAAAGGACGCUAUGGACGAAAAAAACAUCAAGGUUUAAUUGGCUCACUGUUCAUUUUUAAUUUUUUUACCCCCCGCCCCCAGCUGUAGAGACAAGAGAACCCUUUGAUCUGUCUACACUGCAGCCGACACUUCGUUCACCUCACUCGUGCGUUGAUCUGACAGCCGCGCGCGCCGCGCUGCCUUGGAUAUAUUUGUCCUCGAGCCUCCCUGGGUUGGUCCACGCGCAGCGUUGCGUUUAACAAAACAUUGGCCACAGUUUGAAACGUUAACCGCUCCGCGGGGAAAGAAAGAAAAAACACUUUCUUUUGAGUGAAAUGAGUAAAGUAGUGAAACGGACUAAGCGUCAAACGUGGUGUUCUGAAUGCGCCUUUUCUAGUUAUGUUUUUUUUUUUUUUGGUCAAUUCCACUGUUAACAUUUAAAUCGAUAAGCUGAACAAGUGGAGGAAGUUGUUUUUUUUGGUGGAAAAAAGUGGAAGAAAAUAACCGGCUACACGACGGUGACUGUAAACUGGAAGAGGAGGGUCCCCCCCACGCUGGGACGAACAGCGCUGUGUCCUGAUCGGCUGAACCUUCAACACAAGACUCCCCUCUGCAUUACACCUACCAGCACAGUUUUGGACGCACAGAAGGGAAUGACAGGACUCGGCAGCAGACCAGUGCCAUUCAACUGCUAGACCACUCAACAA